CAGCAGCCGCCGCGGUAAUACGGAGGGGGCUAGCGUUGUUCGGAAUUACUGGGCGUAAAGCGCACGUAGGCGGCUUGGUAAGUUAGAGGUGAAAGCCUGGAGCUCAACUCCAGAAUUGCCUUUAAGACUGCCGAGCUAGCAGGUGAGAGAGGUAAGUGGAAUUCCGAGUGUAGAGGUGAAAUUCGUAGAUAUUCGGAAGAACACCAGUGGCGAAGGCGGCUUACUGGCUCAUACUGAACGCUGAGGUGCGAAAGCGUGGGGAGCAAACAGGAUUAGAGACCCCCGUAGUCCCUGUCUCUUAUAA
RNAcentral lists this ribosomal RNA (304 nucleotides) under uncultured bacterium. RNAcentral's name for it is "partial 16S ribosomal RNA". It matches the Rfam family "Bacterial small subunit ribosomal RNA", at positions 506 to 809 of the family's 1533-position model. The record is from RNAcentral.